AAUAGAUACCCUGGUAGUCCACGCUGUAAACGAUGUCAACUAGCUGUUGGCUAUAUGAAUAUAGUUAGUGGCGCAGCAAACGCGAUAAGUUGACCGCCUGGGGAGUACGGUCGCAAGAUUAAAACUCAAAGGAAUUGACGGGGGCCCACACAAGCGGUGGAGCAUGUGGUUUAAUUCGAUGCAACGCGAAGAACCUUACCUACCCUUGACAUACAGUGGAGCUUGCAGAGAUGUGAGUGUGCCUUCGGGAACACUGAUACAGGUGCUGCAUGGCUGUCGUCAGCUCGUGUCGUGAGAUGUUGGGUUAAGUCCCGUAACGAGCGCAACCCUUAUCCUUAGUUGCCAGCACGUAAAGGUGGGAACUCUAAGGAGACUGCCGGUGACAAACCGGAGGAAGGCGGGGACGACGUCAAGUCAUCAUGGCCCUUACGGGUAGGGCUACACACGUGCUACAAUGGUUGAUACAGAGGGCAGCGAAGGGGCGACCUGGAGCAAAUCUUAGAAAGUCAAUCGUAGUCCGGAUUGG
This 526-nucleotide ribosomal RNA is filed under the name uncultured bacterium. RNAcentral describes it as "bacterial SSU rRNA". It matches the Rfam family "Bacterial small subunit ribosomal RNA", at positions 777 to 1301 of the family's 1533-position model. The record is from RNAcentral.